GUUUCAGAGUGGUUAUUGCGUAAGACUAGAAAUCUUAUGCCCUUUGGGCGCGGCGGUUCAAGUCCGUCUC
This 70-nucleotide transfer RNA is filed under the name Mucochytrium quahogii. RNAcentral's name for it is "labyrinthulid quahog parasite QPX tRNA". The record is from RNAcentral. Lineage: Eukaryota; Bigyra; Thraustochytrida; Thraustochytriidae.